CUGGUUGUCGUACUUUUGCAUGGAGUUAUUGUACUCGAACUUGGAGUUCUCGUUGUUGUUGUUGUUGCUGUAAUAACCUCUAGUAUUGUAGUUGUUUCUUGAGUCCUGCUGGUACUGGUUUGGGUUGUAGUUACUGUUCUCCCCCUUCAGGUCAUAGUAGUACUUCCCUUUUUCCAAGUACCUUGUGUCACUCAUGCCUUGCUUCUCAUCAUUGCUGUAGCUAUUGGCACCAUUGUAGUAGUAGUUGUUGUUCUGGUUCCCCAUGUUGGUGUAUCCACUUUCUUGAAGGCUUUUUUCACCGAAGUUUUGUUGCUGCUCCUGAUCAUAAGCAUUGUUGCUGUAGUAGUUGGUGUUUGUGUUGGUGGUUGUGUCAGUUGGAUAAUUGGUGUAGGUUUCUUGGUUUUGGGUUUGGGUCUUGUAUGGCUGGGAAUUAGUGGUAGUAGUGUAGGGUGCAUUAGCUAGUUUAGUGGUGGUGGGGAACUGGGUGGUUUCUUGACCAUAUAGACCAUAACCAUUUUGGUUGUCUGGGAUGAAGGCUGGAUCUUGUUCUUGCUUGCUCAACCCUUCUUCUUCUUCUUUGCCGGGGAGUGUUUUAUCUUGAGCGUUAUUGUUGCUGAUGGUGGUAGUGGAGGGGGUGGUGGUGGCGCCACUGACUUUGCUAAAGAACUGGCUCUCUCUGGCAUGAAUUUGCACAGAUAAAAUGGCUAGGAGGAAGAGAAAGGAAAUGAGUCUUGGAGAGGGAGCCAUGGCUAAAGAAAGGAUAGCGUUGCUGUGUAUAACUAGUCUAUAGCAAUGUGUGGAGGUGCACACUUUAUAUAGAAAGACCUUUCAAUCACUCCAGUUUUUUCUACUCUUUUAGGUGGAAAUUGGAGGGAAUUGGUGAUGAUGGUGGUCCCUGCUGGAGACCAAACUUUUAACAAAAGAACUCCUUUUUCCUCUUGUUUCUGUGAUUUAUAUCUUGAUAAUCAUACUUAUUUUUCUCUCUGUAAUUAAUUUCGUUAAUAUUUGAAUUUUGUUCCCUCUAAGAUCAGCUAGUUCCAGCAGUGACUCUAAAUAAAUCCCAUAAUUCAAA
RNAcentral lists this long non-coding RNA (1072 nucleotides) under Populus trichocarpa (black cottonwood). Its description in RNAcentral is "long non-coding RNA (PTRI_LNC002700)". Lineage: Eukaryota; Viridiplantae; Streptophyta; Magnoliopsida; Malpighiales; Salicaceae. The record is from RNAcentral.